This 429-nucleotide ribosomal RNA is filed under the name Chloroflexota bacterium. RNAcentral's name for it is "Chloroflexi bacterium partial 16S ribosomal RNA". It matches the Rfam family "Bacterial small subunit ribosomal RNA", at positions 355 to 776 of the family's 1533-position model. The record is from RNAcentral. Lineage: Bacteria; Bacillati; Chloroflexota.
UGGGGAAUAUUGCACAAUGGGCGCAAGCCUGAUGCAGCCAUGCCGCGUGUAUGAAGAAGGCCUUCGGGUUGUAAAGUACUUUCAGCGGGGAGGAAGGGAGUAAAGUUAAUACCUUUGCUCAUUGACGUUACCCGCAGAAGAAGCACCGGCUAACUCCGUGCCAGCAGCCGCGGUAAUACGGAGGGUGCAAGCGUUAAUCGGAAUUACUGGGCGUAAAGCGCACGCAGGCGGUUUGUUAAGUCAGAUGUGAAAUCCCCGGGCUCAACCUGGGAACUGCAUCUGAUACUGGCAAGCUUGAGUCUCGUAGAGGGGGGUAGAAUUCCAGGUGUAGCGGUGAAAUGCGUAGAGAUGUGGGGGAAUACCGGUGGCGAAGGCGGCCCCCUGGACAAAGACUGACGCUCAGGUGCGAAAGCGUGGGGAGCAAACAGG